CCAGAUCUGGCUGUUUUAAAGCGGAGUGGCCCCCCUGUGAUCGCAGGGGCUGGGUGUAUAUAUAAGUGGACGGGGUUUUUCACGCCGCUGUGCUGAGUGGAGGGACUCAUACACACUCCGCAUUUCCACGCGUCCAGCCUGGAAACACACCAAGCUGCAAACUUCCAGCUCCCACAACCUGCUUUCCCUCAUCAGAGGAACUACCUACAAAUUCCCACAACUUCUCUCCCCUUAUUCACCCACUUCUGCCGCGGGCAAGAAACUUCCACCAGUUGCGGGACAUGCGGGGGUUCGAGGCUUUGUUAACGGUGCUUGCGGUCUUCUCGGUCGGGUUGUGGAGCUCCGAGGCCGGGGUGAGGAUGCAGAAAGCAGCAGCAGCGAGGAACAGCUCCGGUGAUUCCCGGGAGGAGAGCUCCAGAGCAGCGGGACACGCCACCUGCCCUGGCCGCUGUCGGUGCGAGGGGGACGGGCUGCUGCACCGGGUGGACUGCUCGGACCUGGGGCUCCGGGAGAUACCGAGCAACCUGAGCGUGUUCACAUCCUAUCUUGAUCUCAGCAUGAAUAAUCUGACUAUGAUGACCAGUGGAGCUUUGUCCAACCUGCACUUCUUAGAGGAACUACGUUUGGCAGGAAACGAUCUGUCCUUCAUCCCCAGAGGAGCGUUCAGCGGCCUCUACAACCUCAAAGUGCUUAUGCUACAGAACAACCAGCUGAGAUCAGUUCCUGCUGAAGCAUUCACCAACCUUCACAACCUGCAGUCUCUCCGGCUGGAUGCGAAUCACAUCUCCGGCGUUCCGCCUGGCUGUUUCUUCGGUCUGCGCUCGCUUCGCCACCUCUGGCUGGAUGACAACGCUCUGACAGAGGUGCCAGUGAAGGCUCUUGGAGAGCUGCCGACCCUGCAGGCAAUGACGCUCGCCCUCAACCACAUCGCCCACAUCCCUGACCACGCGUUCAGCAAGCUGGGCCGCCUGGUGGUGCUGCAUCUCAACAACAAUAGGAUCGUUUCCAUGGGCAACAACUGCUUCCACGGACUCCACAGUCUGGAGACGCUGGAUUUAAACUACAACAGCCUGGUUGAGUUUCCUACAGCCAUCCGCUCACUCAGCCACCUCAAAGAGCUAGGUUUUCACAGCAACAGCAUCCAGUCCAUCCCAGAGCGAGCCUUCACUGGGAACCCGUCUCUGAUCUCCCUAUUGUUUUAUGACAAUCCAAUUCAGUCUGUGGGUCGGUCGGCCUUCCAGAACCUUCCAGAGCUUCGGACGCUAUCUCUGAACGGUGCGGCAGAACUCGCAGAGUUUCCAGAUCUGUCGGGAACCAAGGGUCUGGAGAGCCUGACCAUCACUGGAGCUCGGAUCACGUCUCUUCCCAGUUCGAUGUGUGAGCAGCUUCCAAACCUUCAGCUGCUCGACCUCUCGUAUAACAAGAUCCAGACUCUUCCAAGCUUCACUGGCUGUGAAAGCAUCCAGAAGAUUGAUCUCCACCAUAACGAGAUAGAGGAGCUGAGGGAGAACACCUUCACCGGCCUGAUGACCCUUCGCUCGCUAGAUUUAUCCUGGAACCGGUUGUCAUCUGUGAAGCCAAACUCAUUCUUUGCUCUGACGUCUCUCUCCAAACUUGACCUGUCGUCCAAUCAGCUGUCCUCUCUGCCUCUUACUGGUCUGCAGAGUUUAACUCACAUUCGGCUGGUGGGAAACGAUCAGCUGAUGGAGUUAAUACCCCGAGAAGAUCUGCCACGAGUCAGGGUGAUGGAGCUUCCCUACGCCUUCCAGUGCUGUGCCUUCAUCUCCUGUGAGAAGAGAGGAGAAGGAGGAUUAUCCUGGGAAAGAGAAGAGGCAGCAGACUCCACAGCGAGAGACGCUCCUUUCCUUUCCAGUCAAGUGGACCAGGACUGGGACGAUUUUCUGAUGGAGUUUGAGGACGAACCAAAACCUCAACACUCUGUUCACUGCAGCCCAACUCCAGGUCCAUUCCGGCCGUGUCUCCGCCUUCUCGGCAGCUGGAUGAUUCGAGGCGGCGUCUGGCUCAUUGCUGCAACCUCAUUGGUCAGCAACGGUCUCGUCGUCCUGUCGGUCUUCUUCUCUCCAGCCAGCAUCGUCACGACCCCCAAGCUCCUGAUUGGCCUGCUGGCUCUGGUGAACGGCCUGAUGGGAGUGUGGAGCAGCUGGCUGGCGGCGGUGGAUGCCUGGACGUUUGGCAGCUUCUGGAGGUACGGGGUGAAGUGGGAGAGCAGCUUCCUGUGUCGCCUCAGUGGCUUCCUGUGCGUGUUUGCGUCUCAGACCGGACUCUUCCUGCUGACCGUCGCGGCUCUGGAGCGAUGUCUGUCUGCUGCAGGUGCAACACAGAGCAGCAAAGCUGGCAGGAGCAGCGGUGGUUCUUCGUCGCCGCUCUUCAUCCGUUUGUCGAUCUUCCUCUGCUUCCUGCUCGGCUUUGUCAUCACUCUGCCUCCACUGAUGGCCGGGCACAGCAGCUCCUCCUUCUGUUUGCCGCUGCCUUCGUCGUCCUCCUCUUCCUCCUCCCUGGCCUUCGCGGUCUCCUUGGUUCUCUUCGACUCGCUCUGCUUCCUCGUCAUGACGCUCGCCUACACUCGCCUCUACUGCCGCGCCAGCAAAGCUCCGCCAAACUCCGACGACGACGUGGCGUUGACUCGUCACGUCGCCUGGCUGCUCUUCUCCGACUGCCUGCUCUACCUCCCCGUCGCCUUCCUCUCCUUCUCCUCCCUCCUGCGACUCCCUGCCGCCGGGCCGGAGGCGGCGAAGGGAGUCCUGCUGCUCGUGACGCCACUUCCGGCUUGCGUAAACCCGCUUCUCUAUCUCCUCUUCAACCCGCUCGCCAGGGGAGAGCUGGCGGCGCUGGCGGCUCGCGCCUGCAGGGGUGCAGCGGCGUCGAAGUUACAGAGAAGGGGCGUGACCGGAGGACGGCCGCUGGAUUCAACGUACGACGAAGACGCGGAGAAGCAGUCGUGUGACUCGACUCAAGCGUUGGUGGUUGUGGAAGGUGUGAAGGAAGAGGAGGAGCAGAGGAGCAAGACGCAACAGUCGCUGUCGGCCGCCCAACGUCGCUAAACGGACAUAAAACUCACACGUUGUAGUGUUUGUGUCUCACCUGACAAAAGCUUGAAUAUCGAUCCCAAAGGUUCUGCUUCAUUCUAACAGAACCCUCAAAAUCUGCCUCAUUUUAACAGGGAGCUGUUGUUCAAAAUUCACAUUUACACUUCAAUUUGGGUUUGAACUGCUUCUAAAAGCAGGUAAAGCACUUAAAAAACAAUAAGUUAAUGUUUUUGGUGUAUGGAAAAUGAGUCAUUUCUAAAACCUCCCAAAUAUUAACUUACAUUCUACGAGCACUAUGCUGUCACCUAGCAACAAGUGGAAUUCUGCCUGUUACCUAGCAACCCAGGCAGAGCUCCAGCCUGGUCAGCUCGUUUUACCACUGUAUCCGCUGUACAAUGGCUGCUGGAAAAGGCAAGAGGUUUGUAGUUGACUUACUAACCAGAAACAACUUGGUGGGU
RNA transcript from Poecilia latipinna (sailfin molly), 3505 nucleotides. It is a transcript of the gene named leucine-rich repeat-containing G-protein coupled receptor 5A, with no coding region annotated. Lineage: Eukaryota; Metazoa; Chordata; Actinopteri; Cyprinodontiformes; Poeciliidae. The record is from RefSeq and is a predicted model, not a curated record. The transcript is spliced from 21 exons.